GCGGCACCCACCGCUGUUAUGGUCGCCGCUCGUUAGUUAGCUUAACUGAGCUUAAGCUGUGGCUUUGGGGUUCGCUCUUCCUCCGUCCACACAAGCCCCAUCGAGCCUCUGCCUCUCGCGUUCUCUGAGUUUCGGUGGUCCAGAUCAGCUGCCGUCCGUUCCUCCUACUCCGCUGCCAGGGAGGUGCCAUCUUUGCCCUUUUUCCCUCUCUGGACGCUGGCCUUCUGUUUUUUCUCUUGAGUCAGGUGC
Coffea eugenioides is the source of this 249-nucleotide long non-coding RNA. RefSeq lists it as uncharacterized. NCBI's taxonomy places the organism in Eukaryota, Viridiplantae, Streptophyta, Magnoliopsida, Gentianales, Rubiaceae. The record is from RefSeq and is a predicted model, not a curated record. The transcript has 3 exons.